This 334-nucleotide long non-coding RNA is filed under the name Olea europaea subsp. europaea. The record is from RNAcentral. Lineage: Eukaryota; Viridiplantae; Streptophyta; Magnoliopsida; Lamiales; Oleaceae.
AGAACAGAAGUAAAUACCAGAUGAAGUUCCUGAAAUACUGUAACGGAGUCGGAGUCAUUCAAGCUCUGCAGGAGAUAUCGUAUCUGACCGGAAACUCGGGAGGAGAACGGAAUCAUUGUGAAAAUUAUUUCACUUUCCGUUUUUCAGUGAAUUGAGAGAAUGCUAGGGUUUUUGAGACGCAGGAAUUUAGAUGAAAUAAGGUUUGAUCAGAGCCCAAAGAAAACAGAAUACUGUGAUGGUCGAGAAAGAGUGAGCUAUUUAUGUGAUUGCGUGAAUCGGAGUGAGUCACGCAGCUCGCGCCGACGAGAAUCAUGUUAUUGGCUCUCCUUUCUAU